Molecule: ribosomal RNA, 961 nt
Filed under: Fusarium sp. FRC S1983
Lineage: Eukaryota; Fungi; Ascomycota; Sordariomycetes; Hypocreales; Nectriaceae
Description: eukaryotic LSU rRNA
Rfam family: Eukaryotic large subunit ribosomal RNA (bases 422-961)
Source: RNAcentral
CCGAGUUAUUCAACUCAUCAACCCUGUGAACUUACCUAAACGUUGCUUCGGCGGGAACAGACGGCCCCGCAAAACGGGCCGCCCCCGCCAGAGGACCCCUAACUCUGUUUCUAUAAUGUUUCUUCUGAGUAAAACAAGCAAAUAAAUUAAAACUUUCAACAACGGAUCUCUUGGCUCUGGCAUCGAUGAAGAACGCAGCGAAAUGCGAUAAGUAAUGUGAAUUGCAGAAUUCAGUGAAUCAUCGAAUCUUUGAACGCACAUUGCGCCCGCCAGUAUUCUGGCGGGCAUGCCUGUUCGAGCGUCAUUACAACCCUCAGGCCCCCGGGCCUGGCGUUGGGGAUCGGCGGAGCCCCCCCGUGGGCACACGCCGUCCCCCAAAUACAGUGGCGGUCCCGCCGCAGCUUCCAUCGCGUAGUAGCUAACACCUCGCGACUGGAGAGCGGCGCGGCCACGCCGUAAAACACCCCAACUCUUCUGAACAACAGGGAUUGCCCCAGUAACGGCGAGUGAAGCGGCAACAGCUCAAAUUUGAAAUCUGGCUCUCGGGCCCGAGUUGUAAUUUGUAGAGGAUGCUUUUGGUGAGGUGCCUUCCGAGUUCCCUGGAACGGGACGCCAUAGAGGGUGAGAGCCCCGUCUGGUUGGACGCCGAACCUCUGUAAAGCUCCUUCGACGAGUCGAGUAGUUUGGGAAUGCUGCUCUAAAUGGGAGGUAUAUGUCUUCUAAAGCUAAAUACCGGCCAGAGACCGAUAGCGCACAAGUAGAGUGAUCGAAAGAUGAAAAGAACUUUGAAAAGAGAGUUAAACAGUACGUGAAAUUGUUGAAAGGGAAGCGCUUGUGACCAGACUUGGGCUUGGUUGAUCAUCCGGGGUUCUCCCCGGUGCACUCUUCCGGCCCAGGCCAGCAUCAGUUCGCCCUGGGGGACAAAGGCAUCGGGAACGUGGCUCUCUCCGGGGAGUGUUAU